GCGGCGCGUCCACAGCCGUUAAACACCCAACUUCUGAAAUGUUGACCUCGGAUCAGGUAGGAAUACCCGCUGAACUUAAGCAUAUCAAUAAGCGGAGGA
RNAcentral lists this ribosomal RNA (99 nucleotides) under Trichoderma harzianum. RNAcentral's name for it is "partial 28S ribosomal RNA". The stretch from base 43 to 99 matches the Rfam family "Eukaryotic large subunit ribosomal RNA", at positions 1 to 57 of the family's 3401-position model. Lineage: Eukaryota; Fungi; Ascomycota; Sordariomycetes; Hypocreales; Hypocreaceae. The record is from RNAcentral.